GAUGAACGCUGGCGGCGUGCCUAAUACAUGCGAGUCGAGCGAACAGACGAGGAGCUUGCUCCUCUGACGUUAGCGGCGGACGGGUGAGUAACACGUGGAUAACCUACCUAUAAGACUGGGAUAACUUCGGGAAACCGGAGCUAAUACCGGAUAAUAUAUUGAACCGCAUGGUUCAAUAGUGAAAGACGGUUUUGCUGUCACUUAUAGAUGGAUCCGCGCCGCAUUAGCUAGUUGGUAAGGUAACGGCUUACCAAGGCAACGAUGCGUAGCCGACCUGAGAGGGUGAUCGGCCACACUGGAACUGAGACACGGUCCAGACUCCUACGGGAGGCAGCAGUAGGGAAUCUUCCGCAAUGGGCGAAAGCUUGGCGGAGCAACGCCGCGUGAGUGAUGAAGGUCUUCGGAUCGUAAAACUCUGUUAUUAGGGAAGAACAAAUGUGUAAGUAACUAUGCACGUCUUGACGGUACCUAAUCAGAAAGCCACGGCUAACUACGUG
RNAcentral lists this ribosomal RNA (497 nucleotides) under uncultured bacterium. RNAcentral's name for it is "partial 16S ribosomal RNA". It matches the Rfam family "Bacterial small subunit ribosomal RNA", at positions 28 to 507 of the family's 1533-position model. The record is from RNAcentral.